Molecule: ribosomal RNA, 390 nt
Filed under: uncultured bacterium
Lineage: Bacteria
Description: bacterial SSU rRNA
Rfam family: Bacterial small subunit ribosomal RNA
Source: RNAcentral
GACGAACGCUGGCGGCGUGCUUAACACAUGCAAGUCGAACGGUGAGGAGGAGCUUGCUCCUCCGAUCAGUGGCGAACGGGUGAGUAACACGUGAGUAACCUGCCCCAGACCCUGGGAUAACAGUUGGAAACAGCUGCUAAUACCGGAUACGAGACGGAGAGGCAUCUCUACCGUCUGGAAAGAUUUAUCGGUCUGGGAUGGACUCGCGGCCUAUCAGCUUGUUGGUGAGGUAAAGGCUCACCAAGGCGACGACGGGUAGCCGGCCUGAGAGGGCGACCGGCCACACUGGGACUGAGACACGGCCCAGGACUCCUACGGGAGGCAGCAGUGGGGAAUAUUGCACAAUGGGCGAAAGCCUGAUGCAGCGACGCCGCGUGAGGGAUGACGGCC